GACGAACGCUGGCGGCGUGCUUAACACAUGCAAGUCGAACGGAAAGGCCCUGCUUUUGUGGGGUGCUCGAGUGGCGAACGGGUGAGUAACACGUGAGUAACCUGCCCUUGACUUUGGGAUAACUUCAGGAAACUGGGGCUAAUACCGGAUAGGAGCUCCUGCUGCAUGGUGGUGGUUGCAAAGUUUCGGCGGUUGGGGAUGGACUCGCGGCUUAUCAGCUUGUUGGGGGGGUAGUGGCUUACCAAGGGUUUGACGGGUAGCCGGCCUGAGAGGGUGACCGGCGACAUUGGUACUGAGGUACGGCCCAGACUCCUACGGGAGGCAGCGGUGGGGAAUAUUGCACAAUGGGCGGAAGCCUGAUGCAGCAACGCCGCGUGCGGGAUGACGGCCUUCGGGUUGUAAACCGCUUUCGCCUGUGACGAAGCGUGAGUGACGGUAAUGGGUAAAGAAGCACCGGCUAACUACGUG
RNAcentral lists this ribosomal RNA (468 nucleotides) under uncultured bacterium. RNAcentral describes it as "partial 16S ribosomal RNA". It matches the Rfam family "Bacterial small subunit ribosomal RNA", at positions 28 to 507 of the family's 1533-position model. The record is from RNAcentral.